Non-coding RNA from Nothobranchius furzeri (turquoise killifish), 1674 nucleotides. The record is from RefSeq and is a predicted model, not a curated record. NCBI's taxonomy places the organism in Eukaryota, Metazoa, Chordata, Actinopteri, Cyprinodontiformes, Nothobranchiidae.
AGAGCAAGUAACGUCUAAAUUAACUUUUUUUUUGCUGAUGAACUGUAUAAAUGAGUGUCUAAUAGUGUUUUAAAUGUGUGCAUUCUUUAUUUUAGCAUUUUGGUGCAUUUUCUUUAAAAAUUAAAAAUUCUGUCUAAAAACCACAGUAAUGCGCCACCUUCAGCUGAAAACAUAGAAUUUGAGUCAUUUUGAAUAAAUUUUAGCCAAUGGCUAAAGAGUAAAGUACUACGUAAACCAGUAGAGUACUACGUAGCAGCUCCGUGCCAAAGUUAUAAAAGCAACGAGCGUCUCGGCCACGCCCUGUGGCGAGUGGGAGUUGGAUUUGCAAGCGAGUGUAGGAGGUCAGCGGUAGUUCAGCAUUAGCGUAUAGCAUUAGCAUAUCCUAGUCUUUAGCAUAUCUUUUAGUGUUAUAAAUACUUAUUUAGUGUUAGCUUGGCUGUUGUAUAUUAUAGUUUAGUUAGUGUUUGGCUGUUAGUGUAAUUGGGAAAGUAGUUCGGGUUUAGUGUUCCAUAUCGUCUUAGUAUUGGUGAGUAGCUGUAGUGUAGUAUGGUUGCGGUGACUCUGUGGGCAUUUUACCCGCGAUUCUGCACGUCUCCGUUUGAAGAGGGAGGCUGUGCCCACCGUGGCUCUUCCGCGAUUUAGAUGCAGCCCACCGACUCUGCUCCCCCACCACGGCGGGCUCCAGUCUGAGGUGAGUCAGCUAAAUAAACGUUUUAACAUCUUCUAAAGACAAUUCCCUACCUAAAUGCAAAGUCUGAGAGACGUGGUUCACUUCCUUUAGCUAGUCAGUCGGCAAUUCUGCAACAGUGACUAACUGACGCAGCACUUGUUGACAGCAUUACAGCGUGAAAUCCAGCUUGUGACCCGGUUCUGUGAGGAAUUCUGUUCAGGAGGUCGCAUUUCAGGCUCUCCACAUCAUAUGUGACUGACUUUUACGUUAUAACAACGAUCACACACUAGGAAUGUUAUAAAGCGCCUAUAUAGGAGAUUCUUUUGUAUAUUAUCUGACUAUAAACUCCAACAACAAUGUGCUUCUAUUUUUUUUUUCAGGCUAAAUCUACCCAAGACACUGGCUGUCAGACUGAUUUAGCUGCAAGAAUGCACUUGUCCAGGCUGAUGUGAAACCUUCCCUGUAGCAAAGCCAGCCAGAAUGGAGUUCACAGCCGCAGUGUGUCUGGUGACCCACGGGGACCAUGAUGAAAAUUCAUCUUCCAGAAGGUCCCAGAGCGUCCAGACCCCCUGAAAAGACCAAGGUGUGAGGUGUCUGCUGUUGAUUCCAGCUUCCACCUCAGUGACAGUGCAAGCUCAGUGAACUGUUCAAGGACAUUCAGCAAAAUAUGGACUACACCAUGAGGCAUGCACACAUUAAUAUUCUAUAAGAGCACAUAAGGUGAGCAACACCACAUAUUGUACACUGUCCUGAAUUUGUUUUCUUUCUGCAUCUCAUUAGCCUGGCUGAUCACCUGAUAACUCCUGUCAUCUGGUUAUGACAGCAUGAGGAUGUCCUCACACACCUGUAACCUAUCAGCUCAUCUGGCAGAAUAGAGAGAGAAGAGACAACACCACAUCUCCUGUUCCUGGAAAGCCUUCAGCCUUCCUUCGAUGACUGAGAACCUCCAUCAGCUCUGUCUCCUGUCUGCCUACAAUUAUUAUAAUAAAUAUUGUGUUUGACAA